UGGGGAAUAUUGGACAAUGGGCGAAAGCCUGAUCCAGCAAUGCCGCGUGAGUGAUGAAGGCCUUAGGGUUGUAAAGCUCUUUUACCCGGGAUGAUAAUGACAGUACCGGGAGAAUAAGCCCCGGCUAACUCCGUGCCAGCAGCCGCGGUAAUACGGAGGGGGCUAGCGUUGUUCGGAAUUACUGGGCGUAAAGCGCACGUAGGCGGCUUUGUAAGUUAGAGGUGAAAGCCUGGAGCUUAACUCCAGAACUGCCUUUAAGACUGCAUCGCUUGAAUCCAGGAGAGGUGAGUGGAAUUCCGAGUGUAGAGGUGAAAUUCGUAGAUAUUCGGAAGAACACCAGUGGCGAAGGCGGCUCACUGGACUGGUAUUGACGCUGAGGUGCGAAAGCGUGGGGAGCAAACA
RNAcentral lists this ribosomal RNA (402 nucleotides) under uncultured prokaryote. Its description in RNAcentral is "bacterial SSU rRNA". It matches the Rfam family "Bacterial small subunit ribosomal RNA", at positions 355 to 774 of the family's 1533-position model. The record is from RNAcentral. RNAcentral also lists the same sequence under 1 other name.